AUCUUUGCGCUUGGGGCAAUGACGCAGCUAGUGAGGUUCUAACCGAGGCGCGUCAAUUGCUGGUUGAAAACUAUUUCCAAACCCCCUCCAAGGCCCUGUGCCUUCGAGAAUUUCUGGAAGGGCUGCC
Molecule: small nuclear RNA, 127 nt
Filed under: Salix viminalis (osier)
Lineage: Eukaryota; Viridiplantae; Streptophyta; Magnoliopsida; Malpighiales; Salicaceae
Rfam family: U4 spliceosomal RNA
About the family: U4 small nuclear RNA (U4 snRNA) is a component of the major U2-dependent spliceosome.
Source: RNAcentral